CAAUCUGUCAACAUCAGACUGGACAUCAGACUGAACAUCAGACUCAGCAUCAGACUGAACAUCAGACUCAGCAUCAGACUGAACAUCAGACUGAACAUCAGACUCAGCAUCAGACUGAACAUCAGACUGAACAUCAGACUCAGCAUCAGACUGAACAUCAGACUCAACAACAUGGUGUGUAUCAGACAGAACCGCCAUGAAAGCCUGAUGAAUGUUAUCGCAGGUUUGUAUUACAGAUCAGACCAGGUGUGUGUGUGUGUGUGUGUGUGUGUGUGUGUGUUUAGGUGCUGAAGGUGUCGCCCCUCAGCCUCCAGAUCACAAUGCAGCUGUGUUUACGCAGAGGACCCGAAGGUCCAGCGCAGAUCAGGGGUUCUAAUGCACUAACACACACACACACACACACACACACACACACACACACACACACACUGGACCGAGUCCUGAACUCCGAGCCUCCAGAUCCUGACUCCUAAAACACAGUCCGUAAACAACUUUUUGUUUAUUACAGAACAACACAUCGUAAUUUUUAUCCGUUUAUAGUUACAUUUAAAGGUGUACUAGGUAAGAUUAGUCCAUUUUAUACCACAUGUUUAGCUCUCUAACCGUUUAGUUAAAAUGUUUGAAAUAUAUUUUUUUUAAACUUCUUGAAACCACACACACCCCCACCUAUUCCCGCCCAUGAUCACAAAGCUCCGCCCCCAGGACCUACACACAAACAAGCAUUCCGGACCAGAAAACAGUUUUCCUAUUAGAUUUCCUUUAAAGUUUAACCUUUAAAGUGAGUUCCUGUUCUCUCUUACGUUACAGCAGCCGUACACCGCUGUUCCUGUGAAUGAACUGUUACUAUAGCGACGAUAACGUAUUACGACGAGUGUGUGAUAAUGUUCGUUAAUAUUCAUUAAGUAGCUAAAACAGCUGUCUAGCACCACACGUAGCUCACACUCUUAAAAAUAAAGGCUCUUCUCUGGGUCUUUACAGCACCAUGGGAACCAUCUUUCACUGCAGGGCUCCUGAGCUGAGCUGUACGGCUCCGUGGAGAUUAAAGAGGUUCGUUAUGUUUCGUUAUAGGAUCUUCAGAGCAGUGUAUUGGAUCUUCAAGGUAUCAUCGCUUAACACAUUAACAUGAACCAUACUCUAUAGGGUUCUUUGUGGGACUGGAAAAGGUUCUCCUCUCAGGCAGCACUCUUAAGAGCCUUACUUUGCUUCCUUAAAGCACUAACCAAGGGUUUUUUUUGUUUUGUUAGAGAACCGAUGAUAACAUGUUUGCUUGUGGCACUGCUGUGAAGAAAUAUCUUUACAGGGUUCUUUAAAGCACCAGUAAAUAGAAGGUUCUCUAAAGAACUUGAGAGUAAAAGGUUCCUUGUGCAACUUAAAAGGGUUCUCCGAUGGAGCCUGGCUGAAACCCGACGGAGAACGGAGGGCGGAGCAGGUGUGACGGGUCUGAUCGUACAUGGGAUGAGCGAGAGCUCAGAAAGGAGACCAGUGUGUGGUACAGGAGUGGAUCAGUAGAACCCCGAGGUGUCGG
Long non-coding RNA from Ictalurus punctatus (channel catfish), 1525 nucleotides. The record is from Ensembl. NCBI's taxonomy places the organism in Eukaryota, Metazoa, Chordata, Actinopteri, Siluriformes, Ictaluridae.